RNAcentral lists this ribosomal RNA (742 nucleotides) under cyanobacterium enrichment culture clone 1_16_1.5.1_T7. Its description in RNAcentral is "bacterial SSU rRNA". It matches the Rfam family "Bacterial small subunit ribosomal RNA", at positions 64 to 850 of the family's 1533-position model. Lineage: Bacteria; Bacillati; Cyanobacteriota. The record is from RNAcentral.
GAACGGAACCUUCGGGUUUAGUGGCGGACGGGUGAGUAACGCGUGAGAAUCUGCCUCUAGGUCGGGGACAACAACUGGAAACGGUUGCUAAUACCCGAUGUGCAGCAAUGUGAAAGAUUUAUUGCCUAGAGAUGAGCUCGCGUCUGAUUAGCUAGUAGGUGUGGUAAUGGCGCACCUAGGCGACGAUCAGUAACUGGUCUGAGAGGAUGACCAGUCACACUGGGACUGAGACACGGCCCAGACUCCUACGGGAGGCAGCAGUGGGGAAUUUUCCGCAAUGGGCGAAAGCCUGACGGAGCAAUACCGCGUGAGGGACGAAGGCUCUUGGGUCGUAAACCUCUUUUCCCUGAGAAGAAGAUCUGACGGUAUCAGGGGAAUCAGCAUCGGCUAACUUCGUGCCAGCAGCCGCGGUAAUACGAGGGAUGCAAGCGUUAUCCGGAAUUAUUGGGCGUAAAGCGUCCGCAGGUGGCUCUGUAAGUCUGUCGUUAAAGAAUGGGGCUCAACCCCAUACAGGCGAUGGAAACUACAAGGCUAGAGUUUGGUAGGGGCCACGGGAAUUCUUAGUGUAGCGGUGAAAUGCGUAGAUAUUAAGAAGAACACCAGCGGCGAAAGCGCGUGACCGGGCCAGUACUGACACUCAUGGACGGAAGCUAGGGGAGCGAAAGGGAUUAGAUACCCCUGUAGUCCUAGCCGUAAACGAUGAUAACUAGGUGUUGCCCGUAUCGACCCGAGCCGUGCCGAA